RNAcentral lists this ribosomal RNA (460 nucleotides) under uncultured bacterium. RNAcentral's name for it is "partial 16S ribosomal RNA". It matches the Rfam family "Bacterial small subunit ribosomal RNA", at positions 338 to 795 of the family's 1533-position model. The record is from RNAcentral.
CCUACGGGUGGCAGCAGUGAGGAAUAUUGGUCAAUGGACGAGAGUCUGAACCAGCCAAGUAGCGUGAAGGAUGACUGCCCUAUGGGUUGUAAACUUCUUUUAUAUGGGAAUAAAAUGUUCCACGUGUGGGAUUUUGUAUGUACCAUAUGAAUAAGGAUCGGCUAACUCCGUUCCAGAAGCCGCGGUAAUACGGCGGAUUGGAGCGUUAUCCGGAUUUAUUUGGUUUUAAGGGAGCGUAGGGCGGUUGUUAAGUCCGUCGUGAAAGUUUGCGGCUCAAACGUAGAAUUGCAGUUGAAACUGGCAGUCUUGAGUACAGUAGAGGUGGGCGGAAUUCGUGGUGUAGCGGUGAAAUGCUUAGAUAUCACGCAGAACUCCGAUUGCGAAGGCAGUUCACUGGACUGCAACUGACACUGAGGCUCGAAAGUGUGGGUAUCAAACAGGAUUAGAUACCCCGGUAGUC